CGGCGACGGCGGCGAUCCGACAAUGAAGGUGUCAGUUUGGCAGAUGAUAAAGAAAGAGUAUGGGUUCGGUCACUCUCUUAAAAGAGGAGAAAUAAGAAGAGAAAAGAAAAUAAGAAAAAAUGAAGAAGUUGCGCGGUGGUGCGUGGUGGUUGCCAUGGUGGUGGAGGGCGGCGCUGGGGGCAGUGUUUGGAGAAAAAUAAGAGGGGAGAGGUGGCAAGGUGGUGGUUUUGUGGUGAGGUGAUGGUGGUGCAAAGCUAGGAACGGUGGGAGAAAAAAUAAGCAAAAAGGGAGGUUGAGA
This 298-nucleotide long non-coding RNA is filed under the name Gossypium raimondii (Peruvian cotton). Its description in RNAcentral is "long non-coding RNA (GRAI_LNC010370)". The record is from RNAcentral. Lineage: Eukaryota; Viridiplantae; Streptophyta; Magnoliopsida; Malvales; Malvaceae.